This is a small nucleolar RNA of Cajanus cajan (pigeon pea), 108 nucleotides long. It matches the Rfam family "Small nucleolar RNA snoR100". Lineage: Eukaryota; Viridiplantae; Streptophyta; Magnoliopsida; Fabales; Fabaceae. The record is from Rfam.
UUAUGAAGGCAGCAUGGUUGUGGGCACGGAAAUUGAUCGUAUUGGGUCAACAUGUCUGCUCUCACUGAUGAAAACAAUGAUUUGAGGGCCUGGUUGUAACCCACAUUU